Molecule: non-coding RNA, 90 nt
Filed under: uncultured Acetatifactor sp.
Lineage: Bacteria; Bacillati; Bacillota; Clostridia; Lachnospirales; Lachnospiraceae
Description: ZMP/ZTP riboswitch
Rfam family: ZMP/ZTP riboswitch aptamer (pfl RNA motif)
About the family: Previously known as pfl RNA.
Source: RNAcentral
AGCUGCACGACUGGCGGAACACAGUACAAAUACUGUAGUGGAGAUACCCACAGGGAGUGCGGAAUACUGAAAGCCGACCGCCUGGGCACC